UUAUCCGGCUCCUGAGGCUGAGGAAGGUACCCCCAGGCGCAGGCACACAGUACAGUGGGGUCAAGCAUCUAGCUGACCUAAUUAAAAGCUCAUUACAGCAGCCCAUCCCCAUUAACAGGCUGACCCACGUGCAAAUCUAUUAACACAGGAGUCUUCUCUGCUUCCCAAACCAGGAAUCCCAGCCGCAGCCCCGGGGCCUGGAAACUCCGGCCAGUUUAUUAAAGUGCCUUCCCCGCCUGUGACCAUCAGGCAAAGGGAGAAUCUUACCGGGAAUCUCACUUCUAGCCAAUGAGGAAUUUUCAGAAAAGCGAAAUGGAAGGAAUCAUUUUGUCAUCUCUGCAAAUCUGUAUUCUGAAAGGUACUCAGAUAUCCACGAAGUCCUCCUCAUCUCGCACUAUCAUUUCUCUCACUGGGCACAAUCCAGCUUUAAAGAAUUCAACACUUACUGGUCUUCAGAGGACUGUCAGCAAUGACAGCAACCAGGGAUGCUGACAUGUCUUGUUGUUUACAAAGGAUGAGCACAAGGCCUUUUGGAUGAUUUGAUAAGCUCUGCAACUCCUCUCUCACUGUUUCUCACCUCUCUGGACCAACUGCCUUUGUGUGGUGGUGAAACUGAGAUUUCCAGAUCCAUGCAGCUUUAUGGAAUAUAUUAUGGAUGAAAUAUGAACCCAGGUCUAUGUGCUUCCAGGUAAGUUUUCCAUUUUGCCACACUCUGCUGUGAGCUUAGUCUGAAGGUGGAGUUUUAACUGGGACACUGAGGACAGAAGGGCCCGUUAAUUGAGACUUUGAACGUGAGAAACAGUGGAAUGCAAAAUAGCAUGCUCACAGCUGUUUUCAAGCAAUAGCACUGUCUA
Molecule: long non-coding RNA, 854 nt
Organism: Sapajus apella (tufted capuchin)
Lineage: Eukaryota; Metazoa; Chordata; Mammalia; Primates; Cebidae
Exons: 4
Source: RefSeq, a predicted model, not a curated record